Tupaia belangeri chinensis (Chinese tree shrew) is the source of this 434-nucleotide long non-coding RNA. RefSeq lists it as uncharacterized. The record is from RefSeq and is a predicted model, not a curated record. NCBI's taxonomy places the organism in Eukaryota, Metazoa, Chordata, Mammalia, Scandentia, Tupaiidae. The transcript has 3 exons.
GAGUCAGAGUUCCAGUGAAGGCAGCCUGAGUGAGCUCUGGGGGAAGGGCCCCUCAUCCAGGACUCAGGACUCAGGUGGCAUGGAGGCUGGGCACUUCGCAACUCAGAGUGGCCAUGGAGACGCUGCUCUAGGGAUGCGGACUUGACCUGGCCAUGGUGGGCUCAGGACCUGGAGCAGAGCUGGAGGCCGGUACAGUAAAACUGAACAUGUGCUUGGGAGUCUAUGCCUUGAAGAUGCUGCAGAGUGAAACCUGACAUAGGAGCAGGGCCUCCUCCUCCUGUGAUGGUCCUGCAGUGUCCUCUCUCACUCAUCCAAUCCAGGUGAGCUGCCAGAUGACUGGCCCAGGUGAGGGCCCCAGGUGAGACCAGCAGAAGAACCUCCCAGCUAAACACAGCCCAACCGCAGAAUCACAAGCAAAUAAAUCAUAGUUGUAC